Molecule: long non-coding RNA, 5317 nt
Organism: Passer domesticus (house sparrow)
Lineage: Eukaryota; Metazoa; Chordata; Aves; Passeriformes; Passeridae
Exons: 2
Source: RefSeq, a predicted model, not a curated record
UUCACAGCACUCGAGUGUGGCCUCACCAGUGCCGAGUACAGGAGGACAAUCCCUGCCCUGCUCCUGCUGCCACACCAUUGCUGAUCCAGGCCAGGUGCCACUGGCCUUCCUGGCCACCUGGGCAUGGCUGGCUCAUGUUCAGUCAACCAGAACCUCCAGAUCCCUCUCUGCCAGGCAGCUUUCCAGCCACUCUUUCCCAAGACUGUAAUGUUGCAUGGGGUUGUUAUGACUCAAGUGCAGGAUCUGGCAACAUCUUCCACUACCUUGAUCUUUUUUCUAUAUUUACUGGGACUUGUGAUUUCCAUUUUAAGGACUGUAAUGCAUAGAAGUCCUAUUAUAUACAAUUUUUAGGUACCAAACCACAAACAGUAAGCACACCAUUCAUGCUGCAAUAUUUUAUUCUAGCUUUUGAUUUGGCCACUCUCCCUGAAGUAUGUGAAUAUCUAGCAAUGAUACAACACAAUAACCUGUCAGCAGUUAUUUAACUAUUGGAUGGAACAUAAACUUCCAUUGCAGCAUUUAUAGGGAGGCUGGAUAGGCUCUCUGAGGCAUGAAAGGACUAAAUGUAAAGCUCUGAAGACAUUCAGAGUGUGUGCUCACAUGUGGGUGUUUCUGGAAGAGGAAAGAAGAGAAUGUAUAAUGAUUGUGAAGGUGUAUAAUCACAGAUAUAGUAGAGCAGAAGUUCCCAGUCUCCUGUCUCUGGGCAUUUUUAUCAACAGUGGCAACACUGGUCAUCACAACCAGUAGAAGCAGGCAAAGAAGCACCCUUUUUCUUCACCCAUUGUCCCAUGCCUAGAUUUCACCAGAGAAGAUCUGUUUUGGUAUCCAGAAUUUCAAAUUUGCUGGCACAGGAGAAUUUGUAAGUGUAUCUAGUAGGUCCAAGUAGCUGCAAAUCUCCUGCAUAGUUUUUCCAGCUGGGGGGGCUGUGUAUCUGGAAGUCAGGGUGGUUUCAAACACACACCUCACACAGUUGCUGUCAAGCAGAGCUCAUGCCAUGAGGAUGCACUGGACUCAAUUACUUUCUGUCUGCUACUCAGCCAGUGGAGCCUGAACAGCAUUUUAAACAAAUUCUGGGUUCCUUGUAUAUAUAUGACUUUGAUUCAUACCUUAAUAAAUGCAGCAUGAUCAAAAAGGUCAGGCUUACUACUCACCCACACCUGCAUACGUCUGGAAAAUCCCAGACCAGCAGUGGGAGGCCACUCAGGCUCACAUGGCAUAGCUGGAAUACAGGCAGGGAUCCUGUGGGAUUUGUGGCUAGAAAGCCUCAUGCAGUGGAAGGGGGAGAGGGUGUUAGAAGUUCUUAACUAGUGGCACUUCAGAGAUGCAACGUAGGGCCUUUGCUGGAUACAUUUCCAUUGCAGCUUCUGCAGGGAAGCCCUGCAGUGGCAGUCUGAUGUUUGGAUAUGUGUAAUUACAUACCCACGCACAAGCUCAGGUAAAAGAUGGUGGGUAGGAAAAGCAGUGGCCACCUGAGGGCUGGGUGGCUUUAGAUGACUUGGAGGGAAUAAUGGGAGAGAGGGAGAAAGUGUUAGAUAAAUGAGGGCGGGAUUACUGAAUAGUGUAAUGGGCUGACUAACAAAUGAAGAGGAAGCCAUGUGUUUGGAUGAGUAAAUCUUCCAUUUCCAUUGGCUUGACUUUCAACCUGCACAGAGGCAGAUGGAAAAAUCCCUGUCUUACUGUUACCAGUCCUGACAGACACCCUGAUGGCUUUACAGGGUAGCAAGGAUGCGCUUGGGACAGUGCUUGGGACAAUGCUUGGGACACAGCACAGUGGCUUUCCCAGCUGCAAAUCACUCUGCAGGCUGGAUAAAUGCAGGACAGACAACAGUCUGAGAGAUAUUUGUUGGGUGAACACUGCAUCUAUGCAACAAAGUAAUGUAUUUGCCCAGUCUAGCUGAUGAUGGUGCUCCUGAUCUGACUUUUUUGAUUCAUUUGGAACAAAGGAGCAUUGGUACAUGCACUUCACAGUGUAUCCUGUGAAGUGACAGCAUCUGGUCAAUUUGUCUUGAUGCCUUCAGCUCCACUGUCAGGCUUGAGUCAGCCUAGGAGAUCCCAGGUAUAAUGGUAUUACAGGUAAAGCUUGGAAGAGCUACAAUUUGUGUAGAACCUUUCUUCCCUCCAGAUCUGUGGUUGGGCUAAUGAAGGGAGGUAACAAUGUGAGAGCUGACAGUGUUCUUUUUACAUCAAGUGGUAUACUCUCCUGUAACAGCAGAAUUCUUCACUGACUGUUCAUGGUUCAAGGCUCACUCAGUAGCAUGAGCUGAAUGAGAACAUUUUUUCCAAAAUUAAACUUGCCAAAGGACUUGCUUAUCAGUUUAUUGUAGUUUCAAGGCAGUUUAUUCUUGAAUGUCCACCUUUCCUUCAGUUUUUUUCUCUUUCUGAAGUGAAACAUCUUUUAAUUGCUCUUUUGGCAUUGAAGGAAGGUAAUGCAAAACUAUCAAUAAUACAAUGAUAAAAUGUUAAAUGGCAAUAUAUGCAGGGGCCCCCUUCAGUUUUCCACAUAUUUAUGACUGACUUUCUUUUAAUAGAAAACAUUUUUUUUUUCUUUCAGUGUACAGAUAUAGAAUAAAAACACUUGAAAGCAAAGAAUGAAAUUGGAUCUCAUUAAAACAUGGAGUUAGUGAAAUGGUGACAGAUGGGCCCUGCUGGGGAGGAGAAGAUCGUUGAACGAGACUGGGAUAAGUUAGUGACUCUGCAAUUAUAAAGCAUGUGGCUUUGUAAUUUCUAACCCCCAGUUCUGCAAAGUAAUCAGUGCAGUUGGGUCCAUAUGCCUGCAGGGAGGCUCAUUGAGACAGGCACGAAGAUCUGCAUAGAGGAACAGGGGACAUGCAGAUAUUCCAAAACACAGCUGCAAGGGAGCGAAUCUCUCUCUUUUCCAGCCAAAUUUUAAUCUGCCCUCUCCAGAAUGGAAGAACGCUUCACUGUGAAAUAUGAACUUGAUUUUCACGCUCUCCUGUAGUGCUCACCAGACUAGGGAUGGAAUUGUAAGAAAAACAUGACCCUUUCAAACAUUGAUUGAUCUGCCACUGUUAAAUGUUGUCCAUCGCAGUAUGCCUGUGGCAAUGGGUGACAGGUUUUUCUAAUUAUGUUUCAACGUGGACUCUGACUUGUUUUUUAUAAUGUUGAAAAUCUUUAUCUUGACUCAUUUCUGUAAUAAACUUCUGGCAACGGGAAGCUAUAAUUUAUUUACUUAGUAAUUUCUCUUCUCUAUUAUCGUAAAGAUGUCUUAGCAAUUCUAUAUUUAGGAUUGCACAAAUGGGGCAUAAAUCCUGUUUUACUUUUAAAGCAGAUUGUGCUAGGACGUCGACCAUCAAAUGUGUGAGAUUUGUGUCCAUCUGAAUGAUCAGUCUGGUUUUUAUUUCCAGGGACAACCUCAGCGAUCAAGACCCACCAUAUGCAAACCCAGACCACUAAGCAGGUGAUAUAUUUAACUUGUUGCACAGUCUCUUUCAUGCAUUUAACAAGCUCCAAUAAUUCAGGGAUGGUCUUCCCAGUGCACACCACAGGCAAGAAUUUGGUUUCAAGGCCUUGAAGCUGUGCAGCUCUUGGCUCUUUUUUCUGACCAUCCCUGGAAAACUUAUUUUCACUUUUAAGCCAAAGAACGGCACUACUGUUGCUGAUUCCAAUACACACUCAUAGAUAUCACAUUUUCCUUUACAAUCUGAUAUUUAUGCCCAUUUUGUGUCUCUGUAGAGAAGUUACCAUGAGUAAGUUCAGUUUUCAUAGCUGCAAAUUUUCUGGAGUAGUCUAAUACACUUUCAUGGUUCCCAAAUUUCUUUUUGAUGUGCAAGUCCUUUCAUGCCUUAGGGAAGCAGAGAAGAGAGCAUGGAAGUACUUGAAACAUUAAUAAAUAGGUGCUGGAGGCUGAUAUUAUGGGCCAACUGGGUGUAGGAGGAGCUGGUGUCUUAGUGAUGAAUCAGAAAUGCUAGGAGAGGGGGAAGGCAUGUCAGGAAAGAUUGGGAAGAUGCAAAGCUUGAAGUGACACAGCAAGGACAGUCACUCACAAAGAAAAUGCCUAUCCAGAAGCACUCUGAAUGGACAUGAAAAGUGCAAUAUUGCCUUUUUCAGAACCAGAGACAAUGAAGCGUGAUAAUACCUACAUGGAAUAGUUUGGCUGAGGUGAAGUUCAUAUCUUUGAUAUGUUACACAGAAAAAACUCAGCAAGGUGUGAGACAGAAUUUGGAUGUGAGGACAGAGAGAAUUCAGAGCAGAAGACUUUGCACGUGGUAUAGGUCUAAAUUAGGAGAAGAGUGUGUUCUUAUUUUGAUUGAAAAUGGAAGGAGGACAAUGAAAUUGGGACAGUAAUAGUCAUCCUGCUAUAGCCACAUUAAGGAUGAAAAAGGCUAGUCUUCUUUGUAAAGUUAUAGGGUAAGGGUUGCUUGGAACAAAAGGGGAUCUGAAUUGCAAAGGUCAAUUUGUGAUUAUUACUUUAAUAGAAACAAUAGUAAAGUGUAUGUUUGCAUACAUCCAGCAACACAGGGAGGAGGAAUAGAGAGCAGGGCAAUGGGCCAAAGACCAAAGGUUUGUGGCAAAGCCUGGCUGAGGGCAAAGUCUUUUUCAGAUGGGCUGUGAUUGGAGGGAGAGGUAGAAAAACAUAAAGACAGUCACAGGAGCCACUAGUGAGUCUAGAGACUAGAUUUCAUAAAGAAUGUGCUCUUGGGACCACAGUCACCAUUGAGUCCAAGAGAACAUGAAUGCUAUUUCAAGCUACAUUGGAUUUUACAUGAAACCUGUAAAGGCUGGACAGUUUUGGAGAGAAAACUGAAGAAGAGGCUUCACAAAUAAUGAAUCCAGACUGUGUGCCCAUGUUCUGAUCCUAGAAAGGAUCACUGCAGUUUCAAGAAGAAAGAAAUAGUACAUUGAUAUGGAUCUGUACUUCUACAAGACUUACUUUGUGUACCUUUGAAAAAAAUGUGAACUGCCCUAAUAGCUUUCCAGAAAUGUUGGCUUGUGGAAAUACAGUGACUUUAGUACUGAUGAUCAAGCACUUUUGGACCUCAAGUUCCCAGUUACAUUAGCAAUUGAUCAAAGUCAAGGCAGUGAGUACAGGAAAUUCCUGGUUCUUGUGAAAACCUUUAUGUUUCAGCUCAGGACACUUCCAGGAGUGUUCUGGGUGUUUGUGAUAAAACACUAAUAGAUGCAAAAUCUAUAUGGUGUAGCACAGGCUCACAAAACCCAACUAAUUCAAUAUAGUUUUAGAUUUAAUGUUGUUCAGCUACAGAGUAACACUACUGCAGCGUGGAAAAUCACUGGCAAACUUACAGGGAUAUGCAUAUUACCCAGUAUGACAGAACCAAAGGAUGAAAAAUUACUAUUA